RNAcentral lists this ribosomal RNA (253 nucleotides) under uncultured bacterium. RNAcentral's name for it is "partial 16S ribosomal RNA". It matches the Rfam family "Bacterial small subunit ribosomal RNA", at positions 524 to 776 of the family's 1533-position model. The record is from RNAcentral.
UACGAAGGGGGCUAGCGUUGUUCGGAAUUACUGGGCGUAAAGCGCGCGUAGGCGGACAUUUAAGUCAGGGGUGAAAUCCCGGGGCUCAACCCCGGAACUGCCUUUGAUACUGGGUGUCUCGAGUCCGGAAGAGGUGAGUGGAAUUCCGAGUGUAGAGGUGAAAUUCGUAGAUAUUCGGAGGAACACCAGUGGCGAAGGCGGCUCACUGGUCCGGUACUGACGCUGAGGUGCGAAAGCGUGGGGAGCAAACAGG